AACAGGAUUAGAUACCCUGGUAGUCCACGCUGUAAACGAUGUCGAUUUGGAGGUUGUGCCCUUGAGGCGUGGCUUCCGGAGCUAACGCGUUAAAUCGACCGCCUGGGGAGUACGGCCGCAAGGUUAAAACUCAAAUGAAUUGACGGGGGACCGCACAAGCGGUGGAGCAUGUGGUUUAAUUCGAUGCAACGCGAAGAACCUUACCUACUCUUGACAUCCAGAGAACUUAGCAGAGAUGCUUUGGUGCCUUCGGGAACUCUGAGACAGGUGCUGCAUGGCUGUCGUCAGCUCGUGUUGUGAAAUGUUGGGUUAAGUCCCGCAACGAGCGCAACCCUUAUCCUUUGUUGCCAGCGAUUCGGUCGGGAACUCAAAGGAGACUGCCGGUGAUAAACCGGAGGAAGGUGGGGAUGACGUCAAGUCAUCAUGGCCCUUACGAGUAGGGCUACACACGUGCUACAAUGGCGUAUACAAAGAGAAGCGACCUCGCGAGAGCAAGCGGACCUCAUAAAGUACGUCGUAGUCCGGAUUGGAGUCUGCAACUCGACUCCAUGAAGUCGGAAUCGCUAGUAAUCGUAGAUCAGAAUGCUACGGUGAAUACGUUCCCGGGCCUUGUACACACCGCCCGUCACCAUGGGAGUGGGUUGCAAAAGAAGUAGGUAGCUUAACCUUCGGGAGGGCGCUUACCACUUUGUGAUUCAUGACUGGGGUGAAGUCGUAACAAGGUAACC
Molecule: ribosomal RNA, 728 nt
Filed under: uncultured bacterium
Lineage: Bacteria
Description: bacterial SSU rRNA
Rfam family: Bacterial small subunit ribosomal RNA
Source: RNAcentral